This 471-nucleotide ribosomal RNA is filed under the name uncultured organism. Its description in RNAcentral is "partial 16S ribosomal RNA". It matches the Rfam family "Bacterial small subunit ribosomal RNA", at positions 335 to 797 of the family's 1533-position model. The record is from RNAcentral.
ACUCCUACGGGAGGCAGCAGUGGGGAAUUUUGGACACUGGGCGAAAGCCUGAUCCAGCAAUGCCGCGUGUGUGAAGAAGGCCUUCGGGUUGUAAAGCACUUUUGUCCGGAAAGAAAUCCUUGGCUCUAAUACAGUCGGGGGAUGACGGUACCGGAAGAAUAAGCACCGGCUAACUACGUGCCAGCAGCCGCGGUAAUACGUAGGGUGCGAGCGUUAAUCGGAAUUACUGGGCGUAAAGCGUGCGCAGGCGGUUUGCUAAGACCGAUGUGAAAUCCCCGGGCUCAACCUGGGAACUGCAUUGGUGACUGGCAGGCUAGAGUAUGGCAGAGGGGGGUAGAAUUCCACGUGUAGCAGUGAAAUGCGUAGAGAUGUGGAGGAAUACCGAUGGCGAAGGCAGCCCCCUGGGCCAAUACUGACGCUCAUGCACGAAAGCGUGGGGAGCAAACAGGAUUAGAAACCCUGGUAGUCCCA